UAUAUACUCCCUCCGUACGGAAAUACUUGUCAUCAAAAUGGAUAAAAGGGAUGUAUCUACUUGUCAUCAAAAUGGAUAAAAGGGAUGUAUCUAGAUGUAUUUUAGUUUUAGAAACAUCCCUUUUUGUCCAUUUUGAUGACAAGUAUUUUCGGACGGAGGGAGUAUAAU
Non-coding RNA from Triticum aestivum (bread wheat), 168 nucleotides. The record is from Rfam. NCBI's taxonomy places the organism in Eukaryota, Viridiplantae, Streptophyta, Magnoliopsida, Poales, Poaceae.